UUGGGAAUGGUCGGGAUAGCUC
RNAcentral lists this transfer RNA (22 nucleotides) under Petrocodon dealbatus var. denticulatus. RNAcentral describes it as "partial tRNA-Phe". Lineage: Eukaryota; Viridiplantae; Streptophyta; Magnoliopsida; Lamiales; Gesneriaceae. The record is from RNAcentral. RNAcentral also lists the same sequence under 1 other name.